Molecule: ribosomal RNA, 497 nt
Filed under: uncultured bacterium
Lineage: Bacteria
Description: partial 16S ribosomal RNA
Rfam family: Bacterial small subunit ribosomal RNA
Source: RNAcentral
GAUGAACGCUGGCGGCGUGCCUAAUACAUGCAAGUCGAGCGAACGGACGAGAAGCUUGCUUCUCUGAUGUUAGCGGCGGACGGGUGAGUAACACGUGGAUAACCUACCUAUAAGACUGGGAUAACUUCGGGAAACCGGAGCUAAUACCGGAUGAUAUUUUGAACCGCAUGGUUCAAAAGUGAAAGACGGUCUUGCUGUCACUUAUAGAUGGAUCCGGGCUGCAUUAGCUAGUUGGUAAGGUAACGGCUUACCAAGGCAACGAUGCAUAGCCGACGUGAGAGGGUGAUCGGCCACACUGGAACUGAGACACGGUCCAGGGUACUGCGGGAGGCAGCAGUAGGGAAUCUUCCGCAAUGGGCGGAAGCCUGACGGAGCGACGCCGCGUGAGUGAUGAAGGUCUUCGGAUCGUAAAACUCUGUUAUUAGGGAAGAACAUAUGUGUAAGUAACUGUGCACAGCUUGACGGUACCUAGUCAGAAAGCAACGGCUAACUACGUG